Molecule: ribosomal RNA, 499 nt
Filed under: uncultured bacterium
Lineage: Bacteria
Description: bacterial SSU rRNA
Rfam family: Bacterial small subunit ribosomal RNA
Source: RNAcentral
AUGAACGCUAGCUACAGGCUUAACACAUGCAAGUCGAGGGGCAGCAUGAAGUUGCUUGCAAACUUGAUGGCGACCGGCGCACGGGUGAGUAACGCGUAUCCAACCUUCCCUAUACUAGAGGAUAGCCCGGCGAAAGUCGGAUUAAUACUCUAUGUUGUAUUUCGAGGACAUCUGAAUAAUACCAAAGGUUUACCGGUAUAGGAUGGGGGAUGCGUCUGAUUAGGUUGUUGGCGGGGUAACGGCCCACCAAGCCUACGAUCAGUAGGGGUUCUGAGAGGAAGGUCCCCCACAUUGGAACUGAGACACGGUCCAAACUCCUACGGGAGGCAGCAGUGAGGAAUAUUGGUCAAUGGACGAGAGUCUGAACCAGCCAAGUAGCGUGCAGGAUGACGGCCCUAUGGGUUGUAAACUGCUUUUAUACAGGGAUAAAGUUCACUACGUGUAGUGUUUUGUAGGUACUGUAUGAAUAAGGACCGGCUAAUUCCGUGCCAGCCGCCGC